This 185-nucleotide long non-coding RNA is filed under the name Chinchilla lanigera (long-tailed chinchilla). RNAcentral's name for it is "lncRNA (ENSCLAG00000024819.1)". Lineage: Eukaryota; Metazoa; Chordata; Mammalia; Rodentia; Chinchillidae. The record is from RNAcentral.
UGGCACCCAAGAAAGAGAAGAUAUCCUCUUGCAGGCUCUGGCUUCUAAAGGACUGGCAUUUCCCGGCAGUCCUCUGAGCUAUGAGAUGGAGUCCAAGCCCUAACCCUCAAAUCAAUCAAGUACUGAAGAAGACCACCGAGGGGGAAAAAUCAAUGAAAAAAAAAGUCUUCACAACAAAGCAAUAA